GGGUUGUGAGGUUAAGCGACUAAGCGUACACGGUGGAUGCCCUGGCAGUCAGAGGCGAUGAAGGACGUGCUAAUCUGCGAUAAGCGCCGGUAAGGUGAUAUGAACCGUUAUAACCGGCGAUUUCCGAAUGGGGAAACCCAGUGUGACUCGUCACACUAUCAUUAACUGAAUCCAUAGGUUAAUGAGGCGAACCGGGGGAACUGAAACAUCUAAGUACCCCGAGGAAAAGAAAUCAACCGAGAUUCCCCCAGUAGCGGCGAGCGAACGGGGAGGAGCCCAGAGCCUGAAUCAGCAUGUGUGUUAGUGGAAGCGUCUGGAA
RNAcentral lists this ribosomal RNA (319 nucleotides) under Salmonella enterica. Its description in RNAcentral is "partial 23S ribosomal RNA". It matches the Rfam family "Bacterial large subunit ribosomal RNA", at positions 1 to 315 of the family's 2925-position model. The record is from RNAcentral. Lineage: Bacteria; Pseudomonadati; Pseudomonadota; Gammaproteobacteria; Enterobacterales; Enterobacteriaceae.